RNAcentral lists this ribosomal RNA (554 nucleotides) under uncultured bacterium. Its description in RNAcentral is "bacterial SSU rRNA". It matches the Rfam family "Bacterial small subunit ribosomal RNA", at positions 9 to 577 of the family's 1533-position model. The record is from RNAcentral.
GAGUUUGAUCAUGGCUCAGAAUCAACGCUGGCGGCGUGCCUCAGACAUGCAAGUCGAACGAUUAAAGCUCUCUUCGGAGAGUGCAUAGAGUGGCGCACGGGUGAGUAACACGUAAGUAAUCUACCCUCGGGUGGGGAAUAACGUUCGGAAACGGACGCUAAUACCGCAUAAUGCAGCGGCACCGCAAGGUGACAGUUGUUAAAGAUUUAUUGCCUGGGGAGGAGCUUGCGGCAGAUUAGCUUGUUGAUAAGGUAACGGCUUACCAAGGCUACGAUCUGUAUCCGGUCUAAGAGGACGGUCGGACACACUGACACUGAAUAACGGGUCAGACUCCUACGGGAGGCAGCAGUCGGGAAUUUUGGGCAAUGGGGGAAACCCUGACCCAGCAACGCCGCGUGAAGGAUGAAGUAUUUCGGUAUGUAAACUUCGAAAGAAUAGGAAGAAUAAAUGACGGUACUAUUUAUAAGGUCCGGCUAACUACGUGCCAGCAGCCGCGGUAAUACGUAGGGACCAAGCGUUGUUCGGAUUUACUGGGCGUAAAGGGCGCGUAGGCG